RNAcentral lists this ribosomal RNA (492 nucleotides) under uncultured bacterium. Its description in RNAcentral is "partial 16S ribosomal RNA". It matches the Rfam family "Bacterial small subunit ribosomal RNA", at positions 29 to 507 of the family's 1533-position model. The record is from RNAcentral.
AGUGAACGCUGGCGGUAGGCCUAACACAUGCAAGUCGAACGGCAGCACAGUAAGAGCUUGCUCUUACGGGUGGCGAGUGGCGGACGGGUGAGGAAUACAUCGGAAUCUACUUUUUCGUGGGGGAUAACGUAGGGAAACUUACGCUAAUACCGCAUACGACCUACGGGUGAAAGCAGGGGAUCUUCGGACCUUGCGCGAUUGAAUGAGCCGAUGUCGGAUUAGCUAGUUGGCGGGGUAAAGGCCCACCAAGGCGACGAUCCGUAGCUGGUCUGAGAGGAUGAUCAGCCACACUGGAACUGAGACACGGUCCCGACUCCUACGGGAGGCAGCAGUGGGGAAUAUUGGACAAUGGGCGCAAGCCUGAUCCAGCCAUACCGCGUGGGUGAAGAAGGCCUUCGGGUUUUAAAGCCCUUUUGUUGGGAAAGAAAAGCAGCAGGUUAAUACCCCGCUGUUCUGACGGUACCCAAAGAAUAAGCACCGGCUAACUUCGUG